Molecule: non-coding RNA, 92 nt
Organism: Streptomyces sp. CNS615
Lineage: Bacteria; Bacillati; Actinomycetota; Actinomycetes; Kitasatosporales; Streptomycetaceae
Source: Rfam
CGGACAGGGGGGUUCCUGCCUCGCCGGCAGGGCCUGUCCGACGAGGUCACGCGAAGGCGUGGCCAGUGGUUGUCGCUCGGGGGUGAUCGCCG